This 326-nucleotide ribosomal RNA is filed under the name uncultured eukaryote. RNAcentral's name for it is "partial 18S ribosomal RNA". It matches the Rfam family "Eukaryotic small subunit ribosomal RNA", at positions 1470 to 1796 of the family's 1831-position model. The record is from RNAcentral.
CCCUUAGAUGUCCUGGGCCGCACGCGUGCUACACUGACGCCUACAGCGAGUACUUCCCAGCCCCGAGAGGCGGCUGGUAAUCAGCAAUAGGCGUCGUGAUGGGGAUAGAUCUUUGGAAUUAUGGAUCUUGAACGAGGAAUGCCUAGUAAGCGCAGGUCAUUAGCCUGCGCUGAUUACGUCCCUGCCCUUUGUACACACCGCCCGUCGCACCUACCGAUUGGAUGGUCCGGUGAAGCCUCGGGAUUGUGGUUCUUGCCGCUUUAUUGUGGCGUGACCGCGAGAACUUGUCUAAACCUUAUCAUCUAGAGGAAGGUGAAGUCGUAACA